GACGAACGCUGGCGGCGUGCUUAACACAUGCAAGUCGAACGGAAAGGCCCUGCUUUUGUGGGGUGCUCGAGUGGCGAACGGGUGAGUAACACGUGAGUAACCUGCCCUUGACUUUGGGAUAACUUCAGGAAACUGGGGCUAAUACCGGAUAGGAGCUCCUGCUGCAUGGUGGGGGUUGGAAAGUUUCGGCGGUUGGGGAUGGACUCGCGGCUUAUCAGCUUGUUGGUGGGGUAGUGGCUUACCAAGGCUUUGACGGGUAGCCGGCCUGCGCGGGUGACCGGCCACAUUGGGACUGAGAUACGGCCCAGACUCCUACGGGAGGCAGCAGUGGGGAAUAUUGCACAAUGGGCGGAAGCCUGAUGCAGCAACGCCGCGUGCGGGAUGACGGCCUUCGGGUUGUAAACCGCUUUCGCCUGUGACGAAGCGUGAGUGACGGUAAUGGGUAAAGAAGCACCGGCUAACUACGUG
Molecule: ribosomal RNA, 468 nt
Filed under: uncultured bacterium
Lineage: Bacteria
Description: partial 16S ribosomal RNA
Rfam family: Bacterial small subunit ribosomal RNA
Source: RNAcentral